This 427-nucleotide ribosomal RNA is filed under the name uncultured bacterium. RNAcentral's name for it is "bacterial SSU rRNA". It matches the Rfam family "Bacterial small subunit ribosomal RNA", at positions 355 to 775 of the family's 1533-position model. The record is from RNAcentral.
UAGGGAAUCUUCCGCAAUGGACGCAAGUCUGACGGAGCAACGCCGCGUGAGUGAUGAAGGUUUUCGGAUCGUAAAGCUCUGUUGCCCUAGACGAACAGCAAGGAGAGUAACUGCUCUUUGUGUGACGGUAUAGGAGAAGAAAGCCCCGGCUAACUACGUGCCAGCAGCCGCGGUAAUACGUAGGGGGCAAGCGUUGUCCGGAAUUAUUGGGCGUAAAGCGCGCGCAGGCGGUCAAUUAAGUUGGGUGUUUAAGCCCGGGGCUCAACCCCGGUUCGCAUCCAAAACUGGUUGACUUGAGUGUAGGAGAGGAAAGUGGAAUUCCACGUGUAGCGGUGAAAUGCGUAGAGAUGUGGAGGAACACCAGUGGCGAAGGCGACUUUCUGGCCUAUAACUGACGCUGAGGCGCGAAAGCGUGGGGAGCAAACAG